Zea mays is the source of this 1277-nucleotide RNA transcript. RefSeq lists it as uncharacterized. The transcript has 4 exons. The record is from RefSeq and is marked validated. Lineage: Eukaryota; Viridiplantae; Streptophyta; Magnoliopsida; Poales; Poaceae.
AUUCUCGUUCUUAUUCUCUGUGGAGUGAUCGGAGUUGCUAACACCCUCACAUGGACGCGCCCCCUGCUCGUGAUCUCCCCAGGACCGAGCGCCCCUCCCCAACUCUCCUACACCCUCAAGUCGAGUGGGCUCUCUCCAUGGGUGAAGCUUAGGCGCCGAUGCUCUCCUUCUCUGGUUCGACAUGUCAGCUUGGUGCCCUCUCUCCCAUGCCCGAUCCUGAGGUCCCUGCCUCGACCUCCACAUCGGCCUCCAUGGCGCUCUUCUCCCUGGGCACCCAGACGUGUGCGCCCCCUUCCCUGCUCUUGCCGCGGCGAGCUCCUUCCCUCCAAGCACCAGCCCUGGACGCCAGGCCGCAGGCCAUAGUUCCCGUGCACUUGUCCGCAGCCAGAAAAACUCCCCGUGGGCUCUGGAAGUGCCCAGCUCGCGCCGGAGCGUGGCGAGGCUUGACUAACGCCCAGCCAUGGUGGCUGUAGGCUGAGCAGACCCCUCUGCUCCAGCCAUGGCGCGGACCUCCUCUGGUCCGAGCUCGAGCAGUGAACUCUCCGUGGCGCCUUCCCCUGCAAUUUUUCCCCUUCCUCCCCUCUACUUCUGUGGCGCUCAGCACUCCUGCCACAGGACGCCGAGCACCCUCCCCACAGAUCGCUUUUUCCAGCUGCGCCGGACACUCUGUGAUUUGGCCGCGUCGCGUCCAGGACUUCCAUGGCUGCCUCCCUGGCGUACCUCGCGCAGCAGCCGCGACGCCAGUUCGCGCAGCCACGUGAAUCUCCUUUGCGUCACGCCCUCGGCGUGCUCGACAUAAUGCCGCAGCAAGCCUGCAGCAGCAGCCCCGGAUCCCCUCCGCAUCGAGAGCAGCCGCGUCGUCGAUCCGUGCAACCCCGACGUCUCCGUGUCUUGCUUCGCCGUCAAUCUGCGCAGUCCCCGUCGCGAUGCCGUCGAAACCCGCGCCCCUUGUCAUUGUCGCGCUUCGCGCGUCGUUUCUCGACAGAAAGCCAAACCAACAUGCACGCAUGCACAACACCAAUCGGAUUUCGGCCAGGUUGUUCGAUUUAGAAAAAUUGUGUUUUUUGUUUUAUUUACGAUUCAAUCGAUGGCGUGAAUAUGUGUGUGAAAAUAUAAUUGUAUGAAUGAACGCGUGUAGAGAAGAAACUGAAGUAGAAAAGAACUCGGACAUUUUUAUAUUUUGAUAGGAAAAUUAUGCGAUGCGUUGUUUGAUGUGAAAAACUAAGUUACAAAAUGUGGAUUAUGUUUUGGGAAAUGCAUCGAUAUGUGUUUAUGUG